RNAcentral lists this ribosomal RNA (418 nucleotides) under uncultured bacterium. RNAcentral describes it as "bacterial SSU rRNA". It matches the Rfam family "Bacterial small subunit ribosomal RNA", at positions 356 to 789 of the family's 1533-position model. The record is from RNAcentral.
GGGGGAUAUUGCACAAUGGGGGGAACCCUGAUGCAGCGACGCCGCGUGAGGGAAGACGGCCUUCGGGUUGUAAACCUCUGUCGCAGGGGACGAAGGAGGUGACGGUACCCUGUGAGGAAGCCACGGCUAACUACGUGCCAGCAGCCGCGGUAAUACGUAGGUGGCGAGCGUUGUCCGGAAUUACUGGGUGUAAAGGGAGCGUAGGCGGGAUAUUAAGUUGAAUGUAUAAACUACCGGCUUAACCGAUAGAAGCGUUCAAAACUGAUAUUCUUGAGUGAAGUAGAGGCAGGCGGAAUUCCUAGUGUAGCGGUGAAAUGCGUAGAUAUUAGGAGGAACACCAGUGGCGAAAGCGGCCUGCUGGGCUUUAACUGACGCUGAGGCUCGAAAGCGUGGGUAGCAAACAGGAUUAGAUACCCUG